This 627-nucleotide ribosomal RNA is filed under the name uncultured fungus. RNAcentral's name for it is "eukaryotic LSU rRNA". The stretch from base 209 to 362 matches the Rfam family "5.8S ribosomal RNA". Lineage: Eukaryota; Fungi. The record is from RNAcentral.
UCCGUAGGUGAACCUGCGGAAGGAUCAUUACCGAGUUAGGGUCUUUAUGGCCUGACCUCCAACCCUUUGUCUAUUAUACCAAUGUUGCUUUGGCGGGCCCGCCUUUCGGGGCCGCUGGGGGCUUCACCGCUCCUGGCCCGUGCCCGCCAGUAGCCAUCUUAAAUUCUUUUGAUAACUGUGUCGUCUGAAUCAAUAUUAAAUCAUUUAAAACUUUCAACAACGGAUCUCUUGGUUCUGGCAUCGAUGAAGAACGCAGCGAAAUGCGAUAAGUAAUGCGAAUUGCAGAAUUCAGUGAGUCAUCGAAUCUUUGAACGCAUAUUGCGCCCUUUGGUAUUCCGAAGGGCAUGCCUGUUCGAGCGUCAUUAUCAACCAUCAAGCUAAGCUUGUCGUUGGACCCCUUUGUCGCCUGGCGACAGGUCCGAAAGAUAAUGAACGGUGUCAUGGCGACCCUAUAUGCAACGAGCUUGUAAAUAGCACGCAUUUUGGUGGUCGUCUGGCCCAAUCGUCACCUAUUUAUUUUUUCUCCAGGUUGACCUCGGAUCAGGUAGGAAUACCGGCUGAACUUAAGGCAUAUCAAUAAGGCGGGAGGGGAAGGUCGGACUGGCCAAGGGCACACAGGGGGGGAUA